GACGAACGCUGGCGGCGUGCUUAACACAUGCAAGUCGAACGGAAAGGCCCUGCUUGCAGGGUGCUCGAGUGGCGAACGGGUGAGUAACACGUGGGUGAUCUGCCCCUUACUUUGGGAUAAGCCUGGGAAACUGGGUCUAAUACUGGAUAGGACCAUGCUGUAGGUGGUGUGGUGGAAAGAUUAGUUUCGGUAAGGGAUGAGCUCGCGGCCUAUCAGCUUGUUGGUGGGGUAAUGGCCUACCAAGGCGUCGACGGGUAGCCGGCCUGAGAGGGUGGACGGCCACAUUGGGACGGAGAUACGGCCCAGACUCCUACGGGAGGCAGCAGUGGGGAGUAUUGCACAAUGGGCGCAAGCCUGAUGCAGCGACGCCGCGUGGGGGAUGACGGCCUUCGGGUUGUAAGCUCCUUUCAGCCAUGACGAAGCCCUUGUGGUGACGGUAGUGGUAGAAGAAGCACCGGCUAACUACGUG
This 469-nucleotide ribosomal RNA is filed under the name uncultured bacterium. RNAcentral describes it as "partial 16S ribosomal RNA". It matches the Rfam family "Bacterial small subunit ribosomal RNA", at positions 28 to 507 of the family's 1533-position model. The record is from RNAcentral.